Molecule: long non-coding RNA, 1281 nt
Organism: Bos taurus (domestic cattle)
Lineage: Eukaryota; Metazoa; Chordata; Mammalia; Artiodactyla; Bovidae
Source: Ensembl
UGAAAGUGAAGUCGCUCAGUCGUGUCCAACUCUUUGCAACCCCAUGGACUGUAGUCUACCAGGCUCCUCCAUCCACGGGAUUUUCCAGCCUCUUCUUCAGGUUACUCCCCUUGACCAGAAUGCUCUUUCCCCUCUUCGAUUCCUGAUAAACUUCCAUCAUCCUGUGAAAUGCUGCACAAGCAUCACCUUCUCCAUGUGAAACCUUCCUUGCCUGCUCUGUGGACCUCCUGGCAAGUCUCUGGAACACUCUUCUAUGUUAGAAUGCCCUCCAGCGGACAGACGUCUAAGGUAAGAGCCACUCACCUGCAUGCUACCAUGGGUCUGCAGCAGAGACCCUGGACGGUUUUGUUCUGCAUGGACUUGGUGUUAUUUAAGACCAGAAGCUCCUCCAGCACCAUCAUGGUCUUGGUGUCCCCCACAGCGAGCCCAGGGCCUGGCACAGGGUAGGGCUGAAUAAAUGAAGGACCCACAGAGGACGCAGCUCCUUCUCUUCCCCAUUGUAGCCCAGAGUCCAGCCUAUUCACCGGCCUGGCCCCCUCCCUCUGAAGUGCAGAAUGACAGCUUGACCAGGGACUAACACUCUAAAGGAUGACAUUAAAAUGGAACAGAUACGGGCCCUCAAAGCAAACCUCACCCAGAUCUACACCAUUCCAAUUAUGAGAUGUUUAGUCUAUACUGUCUCCACUAACCUUUCGACCCAUAACAGAGGCAGCGUCAUUCCUGACGAGAACAGGAGCCCCUCACCGCCCCCUGGGCUCCCAACAUCGGGGGAGCGCUGAGCCAAGACUCUAGGUCCUUUGUGCCCUGCCAACUCCGGGAGGCCGGACGGAGGACAGGCUGGCUGGCUCCCCAGACUCUGCAGCCUCUGGACAUGGUGCUUCGAGGGUGAGGGGCUGGGAUGGGUCUUCUGGUUGCUAUUUUCUUCUACUUCUCCCCAAAUCCCCCCAUUCCUUCCAGGUGCUAGGAAGUCCUUCGGUUGCCACCAGAAAGCAGGCAUGACUUUUUUCCUUUGGGAGGAGUCCCUGCAGAAGACUUUUGUCACACUGCCACCCGGAAGACACAGCUGGGGCUUUCAGCCUCCUUCCCCUAGGAGCAUCAGGCUCUGGUUCUAGGGCCCAUCUCCCUUCUAGCUUCUGGGUGGAGGCCUCCCCUAGGGGAAGGAAUGGUCAGGGUUCCCAGGCCAGGGAGAUUCAAUAUUGAUUUGGAUCUCUCAUUCCUACAUGCACGCACAGACACACACAGAUACACACACACCAGCAUCCUCUUUCCCUCUUGGCGUUC